Ictalurus punctatus (channel catfish) is the source of this 1663-nucleotide long non-coding RNA. The record is from Ensembl. NCBI's taxonomy places the organism in Eukaryota, Metazoa, Chordata, Actinopteri, Siluriformes, Ictaluridae.
AAAAGAUCCGGUUCGAAGAGUCGACUCGUUCGCGAGCGACACAAAGAACAGACAAUAUGGCGGACAGGCUAACGCAGCUCCAGGAUGCAGUCAACUCCAAUGAACCCAUAUAGAAGGUAGGGCUGGGCAAUAUGAUGAUGAUGAGGAAAUAUCGAUAUAGUGAUGAAUCGUGUCACGUCUCUAAGAUAUCAAAUGAACAUAAAUUGAGCAAACCCCUGCAGAAUUCGGAGCUUGGGAUUGUUUUCCGAAAUUACCGCAGAUUUUGGACCAAAACACAUCGUGCGACGUCAUCACGACGCGCAUUCAGCCAAAGCCCUGCGUCGAACAUGAGUAUGGCGGAAAGGUCUCGUUUACCGACAAACAUCACUUGAAGCUUCAAGAAGUUUUCAGCACAAAAAAAUUCACGACACAACGAUGACGCAAAUAAAUUCUGCGAAUCCUGUACAGACUGAAAACGCUACUGUUUUUCUUGCAGGUUACCCAACCUGAAUAUCCUGAUACAUAUCGCGUAUCAUAAUAAAAUGUCUUUAAGCGCCAUGAUAUCCGAUUCUGUCAUAUCGCCCGGCCGUUUCUGUGGGUUUAGGCUGUUUGGUAUUGAACUGGCAAAUCAAGCUAUACAUACAAUAGCAACAUAAUACAAAACAAAAAAUACAUUGUUGUUUUUGUGUGAUCUCAAUCCCAGAACGCUGAGUAAUUUGUUUUCCAUUGUUAAAGUUGUUUGUUACAUAUUAAGGAAUCUUAAAGCUAUGGAACAGCUGUUGGAUGAUUUAAGCUUGUACUGUUGUGAACGCCUGGGUUGUAGUUGGCCGAUCAGUUCUGUAACGCCAUCGGAGUGCUGCAGCAGUGCGCCCCGCCCGCUUCCUUCAGCAACAUCCAGACCGUCAUCAACAAGGAUCAGCCGUCAAACCCCACGGAAGAGUACGCACAGCUUUUCGCGGCACUGAUUGCAAGAACGGCUAAAGAUGUCGAUGUCUUGAUUGACUCUCUGCCCAGCGAAGAAUCCACUGCUGCUCUACAGGCCGCUAGUCUGAGGCAGCUAGAGGAGGAGAACCAUGAAGCAGCGGCUCGGCUGGAAGAGGUGGUGUACAGAGGAGAUUUACUGCUGGAGAAGAUACAGAGCGCUCUGGCCGAUAUUGCACAAUCGCAGCUACGCACACGCAGUGGUACGUCCAGCCAACCUGCGGCCCCUGAACCCUGACCUCCAGCAUUAUAUAAUGGACAACAUAUCAUGUACACAGUAGGGACGUUUCGAUCCCGUGUUCAUUUGUGCUCCUUGAGAUCAGCCUGUACAGUUAGUCACCGAUGCCGAGAGUUUCUGAUCCCUGUAUGAUAACCAUCACAUGGAUUAAUAUUGAGCGUGAACUUUGAAUAGUCUGAGGUGUUAAUGUUCACCAAAUUAAAAAAACAAACAAACAAAGUUCAAGACUCUGGAAUUUUUCCUUUUAUGUAACACAGUGCGAGUGAGUUUUUCCUAUUUUGUAUAAUCUACAACUGUUCUAAAAGGAACAUUAAAAAUGUAAAUGCACUUUUUUUUUUUUUUUUUGCAUUAAAAAUGUUUAUGAAAUGCUACUGAAAUGUGAUUGGCUGAUGGCAGAGCAUGUUCUUGGAGUAGUCCAGUCAUGAUAAACCUGGUACGCCCGGGAACGCCGUGGGGGAAGAAACA